Molecule: ribosomal RNA, 253 nt
Filed under: uncultured bacterium
Lineage: Bacteria
Description: partial 16S ribosomal RNA
Rfam family: Bacterial small subunit ribosomal RNA
Source: RNAcentral
UACGAAGGGGGCAAGCGUUGUUCGGAAUUACUGGGCGUAAAGGGCGCGUAGGCGGCUUAUCAAGUCAGGCGUGAAAUUCCCGGGCUCAACCUGGGGGCUGCGCUUGAUACUGAUGAGCUUGAAUGCGGGAGAGGAUAGUGGAAUUCCCAGUGUAGAGGUGAAAUUCGUAGAUAUUCGGAAGAACACCAGUGGCGAAGGCGGCUCACUGGCCCGGUACUGACGCUGAGGUGCGAAAGCGUGGGGAGCAAACAGG